This 50-nucleotide transfer RNA is filed under the name Bambusa multiplex (hedge bamboo). RNAcentral describes it as "partial tRNA-Leu". Lineage: Eukaryota; Viridiplantae; Streptophyta; Magnoliopsida; Poales; Poaceae. The record is from RNAcentral. RNAcentral also lists the same sequence under 60 other names.
AAAUCCGUCGACUUUAUAAGUCGUGAGGGUUCAAGUCCCUCUAUCCCCAA